UACGGAGGGGGCAAGCGUUACUCGGAAUUAUUGGGCGUAAAGGGCGCGUAGGCGGUCGUGCGCGUCGGAGGUGAAAUCCCCGGGCUUAACCCGGGAGCUGCCUCCGAUACGGCAUGGCUUGAGUCCGGGAGAGGGGAGCAGAAUUCCCAGUGUAGCGGUGAAAUGCGUAGAUAUUGGGAGGAAUACCAGUGGCGAAGGCGGCUCCCUGGACCGGUACUGACGCUGAGGAGCGAAAGCGUGGGGAGCGAACAGG
RNAcentral lists this ribosomal RNA (253 nucleotides) under uncultured bacterium. RNAcentral describes it as "partial 16S ribosomal RNA". It matches the Rfam family "Bacterial small subunit ribosomal RNA", at positions 524 to 776 of the family's 1533-position model. The record is from RNAcentral.